RNAcentral lists this ribosomal RNA (507 nucleotides) under Triticum aestivum (bread wheat). RNAcentral describes it as "partial small subunit ribosomal RNA". The record is from RNAcentral. Lineage: Eukaryota; Viridiplantae; Streptophyta; Magnoliopsida; Poales; Poaceae.
UUGUGUGUGCCAAAGAAAGAAGGUGGAAUGAUAUUUUGAGAUAUUCAUCAUUUUAACUUAUCCCUGCUUGCGAAAUAGGCUUGGAGAUUAAUUGAUAAUCCAGAUUCCCUUUGUGCCCGUGUUCUCAAAGCUAAAUAUUAUCCAGAUUGUGAUAUUUUGAGUGCAACUCUGAAAAAUAGAGCCUCAUUCACAUUGCAAAGUAUUAUGUUGGGGGUGCAUACACUAAAAAGAGGUCAUAUAUGUAGGGUUGUUGAUGGUAGUCGGAUCAAUGUCGUUUGGGAUGAUGAAUGGAUCCCUAACUCACCUACCAGGAAAGUGAUCACGACUCAUGGAGGCAAUUUACUAGCAAAAGCAAGCAAUUUCAUUAACCCCAUUACGGGUCGUUGGGAUGAAGAGUUGGUUUCUCAAACAUUCUGGCAAGUUGAUGAGGUACGGAUCCUUGCGAUUCAGUUGCCUGAAUUUGAUAUGUUGGACUUCGCAACAUGGAGCUUGUGCAAAAAACGGUAG